This 264-nucleotide ribosomal RNA is filed under the name uncultured bacterium. Its description in RNAcentral is "partial 16S ribosomal RNA". It matches the Rfam family "Bacterial small subunit ribosomal RNA", at positions 524 to 786 of the family's 1533-position model. The record is from RNAcentral.
UACGUAGGGUGCGAGCGUUGUCCGGAAUUAUUGGGCGUAAAGAGCUUGUAGGCGGUUUGUCGCGUCUGCUGUGAAAAUCCGGGGCUCAACCCCGGACUUGCAGUGGGUACGGGCAGACUAGAGUGUGGUAGGGGAGACUGGAAUUCCUGGUGUAGCGGUGGAAUGCGCAGAUAUCAGGAGGAACACCGGUGGCGAAGGCGGGUCUCUGGGCCGAUACUGACACUGGAGGAGCGAAAGCGUGGGGAGCGAACAGGAUUAGACUAC